ACAGAAAUAACAUUUUCAAACAGCUCUCAACAGAGGUCAUGCAUUUCUUCCAUGAAAGUUAUAGAAAAUAGACAACUUCACAGUCUUGUCAUCAGAAAAAAAACUUAUGAACAUGAGUUCAUGACAUGUCAAAUUUCAAUUAGCUCAUAAGCUCAUUAAUUUAUUGCAAAAGUACUCUGGUACUUGUCUCUAAUAAGCAAAACUAGCUCUCUGAGGCAUUCAAAGUUUUAAAUUAACCAGUAAAAACAUGUUGUUUAAUGAGUAACUGUAGUGGGAAUGGCCAGUUUUAAAUACUACGGACAUUGAGGCAGCACAUCAGGACCAAUCUGAUGUUAAAGCAUUAUUCUGCAUUUAAGUGACCUUAGCAAAACAUAAAGUACAUUAGGAAAAACUAAAGAUUGAUGGAAUGAUGGAAUAUCCAAGCCUUGAAGUGCAAGUUUCCUUAAAUUAUAUUCACUGCCGAGAGAGAGAGAGAGAGAGAGAGAGAGAGAGAGAGAGAGAGAGAGAGAGAGAGAGAGAGUGGAACCACCAGGAAACACCGAAAAGGGAUGUAAAACACUACAAAAGUGAAGUGGGCCGGUUCAUUAACCAGACUGACAGUGCUACAAACCUCACACAUCUGUAGCUGGAAGAGCCACCUCUCUUUCUCCAUCUCCUCGGCAAUCUCCGCCCCAGUGAUCUCUGUUCGGAUCAUGCCGUGCUG
Molecule: long non-coding RNA, 703 nt
Organism: Myxocyprinus asiaticus (Chinese sucker)
Lineage: Eukaryota; Metazoa; Chordata; Actinopteri; Cypriniformes; Catostomidae
Exons: 3
Source: RefSeq, a predicted model, not a curated record